GCCUCAUGUCAUCCCCAAUCUACAUGCAUCUACAUCUCCACCACAUGAGUCUGGUCGAUCGGAAGCUAAUGUCAAUGAGGAUACUUUUGACCCUAAUGGCGCCUUCAGUUUUCUUAAUGAUCCAACCCCUCCCCAGAUAGAAUCAACUUCCGACCGUACGGUUGGCCUUUCAAUUGUUCUGAACCAGGAGGUACUUGCUAAUACAUUGGCAAAUCCCACAAAGGAAGGCUCUGCUGAAGGCAAGGACGGCAAUACAGAUGAUGCUAUCGAUG
Phragmites australis (common reed) is the source of this 272-nucleotide long non-coding RNA. RefSeq lists it as uncharacterized. The transcript has 3 exons. Lineage: Eukaryota; Viridiplantae; Streptophyta; Magnoliopsida; Poales; Poaceae. The record is from RefSeq and is a predicted model, not a curated record.